CAACAGAUCCAGCCUGCACCUCAGCUACUGAGCAAUGGGCAACUUGCCAGUGCCCAUCAGUCUGGGCCAGCAGCCUGUACCCCUGGUCGCCCACAUUCACAGCAGAACGGGUUCAGAGGUCAAGGGCUGCUGGUGAAGGGUCAGGUGAGGCAGCCGCCCCAGGGCCAGGCGGAGCACAAUGGGGAGGCUAGAACACCCACACCCGAGGAGAGAGGCAAGAGAAAACAGCUGCAGGACUUGCCCCCCUCUGAUUAGGCUUAUAACAUCUGGUCUACAAGGUGGGAAAUCAAGUGAAAACCGUUGACUGCCCAUUGCCAUGUGUGUCUGAUUCCCUAACCAAAGUCUUCUUUUGUGACAUUCAACCAAAUAACGUAGGGAUUCUUCAUGCUGUUCAAACAGUUUUUGCUCACAGAAAAAUGUUGACGAGGCACAUGUUAUAAUUGUCCAGGCAUCUGUACAUGGACUGAUUGACUGCACCUCCUUUGAAGUAUUCAACAGCUUGGUACAGAGAAAACCAAUAUUGAGCAAUAGAUGGGUAAAACAAUCUCUGCUUGCUAGUACCACACUUGAUAUGCCAAACUUCAUGGUCACCAAGAUUUGUCGAUAUGGAGAAAUCUGUCAUGAAAUUGAUUACCAAGGAUUUGAGUUUGAAUUCAGGGGAGACACAUGGGUUGAUAUAACCAAAGGUAAAUGUGUCACCAAAGAGUGGGUGUUUAGUUGCAUUGUGGAAGGAAAGAUGGUAUCAUUGAAGGAACAGAAAACCGAUGGGGACAUUGUGUAAGAUAGCGAUGAAUUAUGUGUGAAUAAUGAACCGCUGAAGAAGGUAAUAGUAGCAACAUCAGGGUCAGCUAAUGGGAAAGGCCGGUCACAGAAAGCCCAAGGUUGCAUAUACUGCGAAAAGCUAGAUUACAAGUUACAUACACACCUUGAGUAACAAAACUCCAAUGAAAUUGAAGUAGCUUAGAUUCUCAACAUGCCAAAGAGAUCCAAAGAAAGGAGACGGGCAUGGGCGGUCAUAACUGCCAAGGGUAAUAAUCUGCACAAUACAAAAGUUAAAGAAAAAGGGGUGGGUAUCCUAAUACCUAAGUACAGACAGAGCCUCUACUGAAAAAGCAGGAAUACACAGACAAUUUUACAAAAAGGUUGUUGUAAACAUAAGAGAGGACGAGAUAGGCAACUGUGCCAAAUCUGACAGUCUGAUUUUACAAUUUGGUGAAAGAAGAUUUGAAAAACAUGAAAAUCGGAAAAUUCGUAUUCCCAUAUUUCUUGUCGUAUGCGCUAGUUGGCUAGAAUGGCUAUACCCAUGAAAAAGAAUUACCCGAAUAUAGACAAUUUAACAUAAUGCAUUCAGCCAAUCAUGUGGACCCCCCUUCUUGAAACAAUAAAAAAUGUUGCAGGGUUCGAAAAAAGAACUUGUUCUUAUGCGUCACCAUCUUACGUGGAAAAAAUAUUAAGUAGUUUUAAAAAAAGUUGCCAAAAUGCUUUGCACAAAAGCAUCAGAGGCGGAAGAUUGGGAGCAGGAAGAGAGAAUGUCCCGAUUUAUAAAAUGUUACGAUGACGAAUAUCAUGAAAAAAUUGUCUUUAUGGCUAAAGAAUAAUUGGCGAUUGAAAGGUUUAAUAAGCCAAAACUUCUACCCAUCGUUGAGGAUGUUGUUAAGCUGAACACUUACCUCCGAAAUGAAGCCAGCAUAUUAAGAUCCAGUGCACCAGCUGAUCUCAGUAUGCCAGCUGAUCUCAAAGAGAUUUAUACUUCACUUUGCAGUUUCCUUAGCAAGGGUAAUACUUUUUAACCGAAAGAGAUCCGGAGAGGCGGAAAGACUGAAAACGGAAGAUUUCGUAAAAGGGUCUGUUAAUGACGUUGUGGAUAAAGAUAUAUCACAAACAUUAAGGAAAUUUGAAAGGCAUUUGUGUAAAUAUCAUUAUAGGAUAGAGACGCGGGGAAAAAGUCUCAAACGAGGCAGGCGAGUAUCAAUCCUCUUAACAAAAGAGAUGAAGGAAAACCUGGACACACUUCUUAGAUUGCAGUCUAAGCUUCAAAUAGAGUCUCAGUACAUUUUCAUGAGACCAAGUUGAAGAAAGCCAUACAGAGGCAAUGAUGUACUGAAAGAGGCGACUGAGAAAGCAAAGAUGAAGAAACAACAGUGAGCGAUGAGGAAGCUUCAAGUGAUGAGGAUGUUGAAGAAUCAGAUGACCAGCAUGAUGAAGAAAAUAGAGAAGGUGUUCCUUCAUCUAGCUCAAAACCUGCUGUGUCUGGGUUUCAUCCUCAAUAUGGAUAUCAAGGAGCAGGGUAUGACACGGAUGAUUAUGAUGAUGAUAUGGGUGAUCCAGAUUGGAUUUACAAUAAAAGAAAGCAUGGUAAGUUAUUACAACUUUGUCACAUGUCCUACUUAACAUAGAGGAUCUGUCAUAUUAUUUUGAGUGCAACGACCCUCACAAUUGAUUUAAAUACAAUUCAAUGAGUGCUUUGUACCUGCACAAGAAAUUCCUUUGUUUUACAUUGUAAUUAGCUAACCAGGUGUUUUACAAAUUAUGUGUUGUACUUUAAUUUAAAGCCUGAAGUACCUGGUCAUUUACAAAUAGAAAGCUGGGAUUAUCGCUGUUAAAACAUGUAAUAUUUUAUGCACACAUAAAAGAUUUUAUGUCAUUGUACGACUUCUUAAUUGUUUAAUUGUCUGUUACUAUUAUACAUGUACUUGUUCAAGCCUUAUAUUUAAUUACUUGUGUAUAACCUCAGUGUGGGGUCACAUGGGCUCUUUUGACCAAUCAAAUUCAGUCUUGGUCAUUGUGGCCCUUUUGAUCCUUCCAGACUUUGACGUGGUUAUCCAGUCAGGUCAAAAUUAACAAUUACGCUCUUAAGCGAUACUUUCAAGGAUUGAUUUUAAUACGAUAUGAUGCCGUUUCAUUCUGUUUAUGUGAAGGAUUAUCUCUCGUUGUAAGAAUACUUACACCAAUGGUGUUAUUCCGUGUGAUAUUUUUAAGUUUAAAGGGCCGUUGAACGAGUACACAUGCUUAUUAGUGCCAUGUCAUAACGAAGUCUACCGUGAAAGGUUUCCAAGAUGACGGCGCCCAGAGCGGUAUUAGCGCAUAUCGUCAGUCACUUUUUCAUGAUGCUUUUUACCCGUCAACUCGGGGUCAGCUACGCGUCUUCUACAACAGCCGAGAUGCAGUUGUCGCUGCCCUGUAUCAGUCAUACUGAUUCAGUUCAGAAAAUGGAUCCUACCCCCUGUGUCGCCCGCAAUUGUUCAUACUGACGGUGGCAGACGCGCCAGGGGGAUUUGCGCAGGCUUCCUGUCAGUGUCCCAAGAACCAUGUCCCUGUUGGGAAGAACAGCUGCAAGCCCAAAUGUAAUGAAAGCCAGUUCCUGUGAAAGCAAUGCUCGAAGUGUAUUCCUGGCUGGUGGCAGUGCGACAACAACUGGGGCUGUGAAGAUGGCUCGGACCAGAUAGACGACGUGUCAGUGUGCACAGCAUACCCUUGCUCUCAACCGGGUCUAUUUGAGUGUACCAGUGCCAAGAAUAUGAUUGGUUGUGUCCCGCCCAGCUUUAUUUGCGAUGGAAACCCAGAUUGCGAUGAUGGGUCUGACCAAAAGGAAGUACAACUGCACCACGUUCCCCUGUAUGACGGGCCAGUACAAGUGUGCAGCAGACAACAAGUGUAUCAGCAGUUUCAAGGUGUGUGACAGCAAGCAAGAUUGGAGCAGAUGAACUGAACUGCA
This is a long non-coding RNA of Dreissena polymorpha, 3715 nucleotides long. RefSeq lists it as uncharacterized. NCBI's taxonomy places the organism in Eukaryota, Metazoa, Mollusca, Bivalvia, Myida, Dreissenidae. The record is from RefSeq and is a predicted model, not a curated record. The transcript has 11 exons.